AAAUUGAAGAGUUUGAUCAUGGCUCAGAUUGAACGCUGGCGGCAGGCCUAACACAUGCAAGUCGAACGGUAGCACAGAGAGCUUGCUCUCGGGUGACGAGUGGCGGACGGGUGAGUAAUGUCUGGGAAACUGCCCGAUGGAGGGGGAUAACUACUGGAAACGGUAGCUAAUACCGCAUAACGUCGCAAGACCAAAGUGGGGGACCUUCGGGCCUCACACCAUCGGAUGUGCCCAGAUGGGAUUAGCUAGUAGGUGGGGUAACGGCUCACCUAGGCGACGAUCCCUAGCUGGUCUGAGAGGAUGACCAGCCACACUGGAACUGAGACACGGUCCA
RNAcentral lists this ribosomal RNA (334 nucleotides) under Salmonella enterica. RNAcentral describes it as "bacterial SSU rRNA". It matches the Rfam family "Bacterial small subunit ribosomal RNA", at positions 1 to 333 of the family's 1533-position model. Lineage: Bacteria; Pseudomonadati; Pseudomonadota; Gammaproteobacteria; Enterobacterales; Enterobacteriaceae. The record is from RNAcentral.